RNAcentral lists this ribosomal RNA (382 nucleotides) under uncultured bacterium. RNAcentral's name for it is "bacterial SSU rRNA". It matches the Rfam family "Bacterial small subunit ribosomal RNA", at positions 30 to 414 of the family's 1533-position model. The record is from RNAcentral.
AUUGAACGCUGGCGGCGUGCUUAACACAUGCAAGUCGUGCGGUAACAGGCGUAGCAAUACGUGCUGACGAGCGGCGAACGGGUGCGUAAUACAUGGGAAUCUGCCUUUUAGUGGGGAAUAACCCGGCGAAAGCCGGGCUAAUGCCGCAUAAGAUCUUCGGAUGAAAGCGGGGAUCGUAAGACCUCGCGCUGAUGGAUGAGCCCAUGCCGGAUUAGCUAGUGGUGAGGUAACGGCUCACCAAGGCGACGAUCCGUAGCUGGUCUGAGAGGACGGCCAGCCACACUGGGACUGAGACACGGCCCAGACUCCUACGGGAGGCAGCAGUGGGAAUAUUGGACAAUGGGGAAACCCUGAUCCAGCGACGCCGCGUGUGUGAAGAAGG